UCAUUUUUUAUCAAAUAAUAAAAAUAUCAAAUCCCUAAACCUAAUCCCUAAAUCUCUAAAAAUUCAUUCUUAUUUCUUAUUCCCCCUUUCUUAAGAGUUAGCUAGGGUUUGUGAUUUCUUCUCAUUCCUCCUUUUUUUUGCACAAGCACACAAGAGUUAGCUAGGGUUUGACUCGGCUCCUUCUCAGUUCUCAUCUUGGUAAGUGGUAACUCGGCUCCCCUCAGUCCCCACAAAAAAACAGAUUUUUGUGGUGAGAUGCUAGUCGGAUCAUGUGAAGAUUACUAUGUUGCUCAUCUUUAUCUCCUAAUCUUUAUUCUUUACAUCUUAAUCUUCAACAUGAGUCAUGA
RNAcentral lists this long non-coding RNA (347 nucleotides) under Zostera marina. RNAcentral's name for it is "long non-coding RNA (ZMAR_LNC002639)". Lineage: Eukaryota; Viridiplantae; Streptophyta; Magnoliopsida; Alismatales; Zosteraceae. The record is from RNAcentral.